AACUCUGAAGACCCACCUCCGACGACCCAGAUCCGAGGAGGUGCCGACCACAUCCGACUACCAACCCAGCACUGAUCCGUCGCUCUUCUCCGAUCCGGCGGUGACUACUUUCAGCUCGGACUUGCAGCUCCUUGUCUGAGAAAGGUAAUUAGUUUUCAGAGAUUGAUCUUUUGGUCUACUUUGUUUAAAAUUCUGCCACAUGAGAUCCAAUUAUUCAACUUCCUGAUCUAAUUAUCUAUAAAAUUGCAGGCUUACAGAGUGACUACUGGAUUAGCAGCUCGGCCAUGGUGUUUAACUGAGGUUUGCUCGAAACAAGAUAUUAUAAACAUCGUUACUGAUCCUAGCGCAGAGUCCACCAAAGGAGGUUAGUUGCAG
Molecule: long non-coding RNA, 375 nt
Filed under: Linum usitatissimum (flax)
Lineage: Eukaryota; Viridiplantae; Streptophyta; Magnoliopsida; Malpighiales; Linaceae
Description: long non-coding RNA (LUSI_LNC001440)
Source: RNAcentral